UCGGGGUUCGAUUAAGCCAUGCGAGUCGAGAGGGUUUAGACCCUCGGCGGACUGCUCAGUAACACGUGGAUAACCUGCCCUAAGGUGGAGCAUAACCCCGGGAAACUGGGGAUAAUACUCCAUAGGUUAUGGAUGCUGGAAUGCUUCAUAACUCAAAGUUCCGGCGCCUUAGGAUGGAUCUGCGGUCGAUUAGGUUGUUGUUGGGGUAACGGCCCAACAAGCCUGUAAUCGAUACGGGUUGUGGGAGCAAGAGCCCGGAGAUGGAAUCUGAGACACGAUUCCAGGCCCUACGGGGCGCAGCAGGCGCGAAAACUUUACAAUGCAGGAAACUGUGAUAAGGGAACCCCGAGUGCCCGUAUACGCGGGCUGUCCAGGUGUCUAAAAAGCACCUGAAGAAAGGGCCGGGCAAGACCGGUGCCAGCCGCCGCGGUAAUACCGGCGGCUCGAGUGGUGGCCACUUUUAUUGGGCUUAAAGCGUCCGUAGCUGGACUCCUAAGUCCCUUGGGAAAUCUCUUGGCUUAACCAAGAGGCGUCCAAGAGAUACUGGGAGUCUAGGGACCGGGAGAGGUGAGAGGUACUCCGGGGGUAGGAGUGAAAUCCUGUAAUCCCCGGGGGACCACCUGUGGCGAAGGGGUCUCACCAGAACGGCUCCGACAGUGAGGGACGAAAGCUGGGGGAGCGAACCGGAUUAGAUACCCGGGUAGUCCCAGCCGUAAACGAUGCGCGUUAGGUGUACUGGUGACCACGAGUCACCGGGGUGCCGAAGGGAAACCGUGAAACGUGCCGCCUGGGAAGUACGGUCGC
Molecule: ribosomal RNA, 804 nt
Filed under: uncultured archaeon
Lineage: Archaea
Description: bacterial SSU rRNA
Rfam family: Archaeal small subunit ribosomal RNA
Source: RNAcentral